GGCACGGCAGGGUAGAUAUGUAUGGAUGAGAUAAACGCUGAAAGCAUCUAAGCGCGAAACUCGCCUCGAGAUAAGAUUUCCCAUUCCGUAAGGAAGUAAGACCCCUGAGAGAUGAUCAGGUAGAUAGGAUGGAAGUGGAAGUGCGGUGACGUAUGAAGCGGACCAUUACUAAUCGGUCGAGGACUUAACCAAG
Molecule: ribosomal RNA, 193 nt
Filed under: Ligilactobacillus agilis
Lineage: Bacteria; Bacillati; Bacillota; Bacilli; Lactobacillales; Lactobacillaceae
Description: Lactobacillus agilis partial 23S ribosomal RNA
Rfam family: Bacterial large subunit ribosomal RNA
Source: RNAcentral